UGCCAGCCGCCGCGGUAAUACGGAGGUUGCAAGCGUUGUUCGGAUUUACUGGGCGUAAAGGGAGCGCAGGCGGUUUGAUAAGUCUGAAGUGGAAGCCCGGGGCUCAACCCCGGAAGGCCUUUGGAUACUGUCAGACUUGAGUUCGUGAGAGGAAAGCGGAAUUCCAGGUGUAGCGGUGAAAUGCGUAGAUAUCUGGAGGAACAUCGGUGGCGAAAGCGGCUUUCUGGCACGAUACUGACGCUGAGGCUCGAAAGCGUGGGGAGCGAACAGGAUUAGAUA
RNAcentral lists this ribosomal RNA (279 nucleotides) under uncultured bacterium. RNAcentral describes it as "partial 16S ribosomal RNA". It matches the Rfam family "Bacterial small subunit ribosomal RNA", at positions 506 to 784 of the family's 1533-position model. The record is from RNAcentral.